RNAcentral lists this ribosomal RNA (462 nucleotides) under Lachnospiraceae bacterium oral taxon A61. RNAcentral's name for it is "bacterial SSU rRNA". It matches the Rfam family "Bacterial small subunit ribosomal RNA", at positions 28 to 492 of the family's 1533-position model. Lineage: Bacteria; Bacillati; Bacillota; Clostridia; Lachnospirales; Lachnospiraceae. The record is from RNAcentral.
GAUGAACGCUGGCGGCAUGCCUAACACAUGCAAGUUGAACGAGAAGUUCUGGAACAAGUCUUCGGACAAGGGAAGGGACGGGAAGUAGCGAACGGGUGAGUAACGCGUGGGCAACCAACCUUACACAGGGGGAUAACGCAGAGAAAUUUGCGCUAAUACCGCAUAAGCGCACAGGAUCACAUGAUCCGGUGUGAAAAACUCCGGUGGUGUAAGACGGGCCCGCGUCUGAUUAGCUAGUUGGUGAGGUAAGGGCUCACCAAGGCGACGAUCAGUAGCCGACCUGAGAGGGUGAUCGGCCACAUUGGGACUGAGACACGGCCCAAACUCCUACGGGAGGCAGCAGUGGGGGAUAUUGCACAAUGGAGGGAACUCUGAUGCAGCAAUGCCGCGUGAAGGAAGAAGGUUUUCGGAUUGUAAACUUCUAUCAGCAGGGAAGAAAAUGACGUACCUGACUAAGAGCCC